RNAcentral lists this ribosomal RNA (492 nucleotides) under uncultured bacterium. RNAcentral's name for it is "partial 16S ribosomal RNA". It matches the Rfam family "Bacterial small subunit ribosomal RNA", at positions 30 to 507 of the family's 1533-position model. The record is from RNAcentral.
AUUGAACGCUGGCGGCAUGCUUUACACAUGCAAGUCGAACGGUAACAGGCCUUCGGGUGCUGACGAGUGGCGAACGGGUGAGUAAUGCAUCGGAACGUGCCCAGAGGUGGGGGAUAACGCAGCGAAAGCUGUGCUAAUACCGCAUGUGAUCUGAGGAUGAAAGCGGGGGACCAGGCAGCAAUGUUUGGCCUCGCGCCUUUGGAGCGGCCGAUGUCAGAUUAGGUAGUUGGUGGGGUAAAGGCCUACCAAGCCGACGAUCUGUAGCUGGUCUGAGAGGACGACCAGGCACACUGGGACUGAGAAACGGCCCAGACUCCUACGGGAGGCAGCAGUGGGGAAUUUUGGACAAUGGGCGCAAGCCUGAUCCAGCAAUGCCGCGUGCGGGAAGAAGGCCUUCGGGUUGUAAACCGCUUUUGUACGGAACGAAAAGGCUCUGGCUAAUACCUGGGGCUGAUGACGGUACCGUAAGAAUAAGCACCGGCUAACUACGUG